GAUGAAGAACGCAGCGAAAUGCGAUACGUAAUAUGAAUUGCAGAUAUUCGUGAAUCAUCGAAUCUUUGAACGCACAUUGCGCCCUUUGGUAUUCCAAAGGGCAUGCCUGUUUGAGCGUCAUUUCUCCCUCAAACCCCCGGGUUUGGUGUUGAGCAAUACGCUAGGUUUGUUUGAAAGAAUUUACGUGGAAACUUAUUUUAAGCGACUUAGGUUUAUCCAAAACGCUUAUUUUGCUAGUGGCCACCACAAUUUAUUUCAUAACUUUGACCUCAAAUCAGGUAGGACUACCCGCUGAACUUAAGCAUAUCAAUAAGCGGAGGA
Molecule: unclassified non-coding RNA, 321 nt
Filed under: soil metagenome
Description: partial contains 5.8S ribosomal RNA, internal transcribed spacer 2, and large subunit ribosomal RNA
Rfam family: 5.8S ribosomal RNA (bases 1-120)
Source: RNAcentral